AUGCAGUCGACGGAGCACCCUUGACUGAGGUUUCGGCCAAAUGAUAGGAAUGCUUAGUGGCGGACUGGUGAGUAACGCGUGAGGAACCUGCCUUCCAGAGGGGGACAACAGUUGGAAACGACUGCUAAUACCGCAUGACGCAUGACCGGGGCAUCCCGGGCAUGUCAAAGAUUUUAUCGCUGGAAGAUGGCCUCGCGUCUGAUUAGCUAGAUGGUGGGGUAACGGCCCACCAUGGCGACGAUCAGUAGCCGGACUGAGAGGUUGACCGGCCACAUUGGGACUGAGAUACGGCCCAGACUCCUACGGGAGGCAGCAGUGGGGAAUAUUGGGCAAUGGACGCAAGUCUGACCCAGCAACGCCGCGUGAAGGAAGAAGGCUUUCGGGUUGUAAACUUCUUUUGUCAGGGAAGAGUAGAAGACGGUACCUGACGAAUAAGCCACGGCUAACUACGUGCCAGCAGCCGCGGUAAUACGUAGGUGGCAAGCGUUGUCCGGAUUUACUGGGUGUAAAGGGCGUGCAGCCGGGCCGGCAAGUCAGAUGUGAAAUCUGGAGGCUUAACCUCCAAACUGCAUUUGAAACUGUAGGUCUUGAGUACCGGAGAGGUUAUCGGAAUUCCUUGUGUAGCGGUGAAUGCGUAGAUAUAAGGAAGAACACCAGUGGCGAAGCGGAUAACUGGACGGCAACUGACGGUGAGGCGCG
This 699-nucleotide ribosomal RNA is filed under the name uncultured bacterium. Its description in RNAcentral is "bacterial SSU rRNA". It matches the Rfam family "Bacterial small subunit ribosomal RNA", at positions 55 to 755 of the family's 1533-position model. The record is from RNAcentral.